This is a long non-coding RNA of Cyanistes caeruleus (blue tit), 378 nucleotides long. RefSeq lists it as uncharacterized. The record is from RefSeq and is a predicted model, not a curated record. Lineage: Eukaryota; Metazoa; Chordata; Aves; Passeriformes; Paridae.
UCUCCAUCCAAGCGUCCACAUAAGGCUGUGCUAUGCUCCAUAGCUUAUCUGGUCACAGUGACUUCAGAGGGACUGUGUUGAAGAAUGCAAGAAUUUCCCUCAAAAGUACAAAGAUCCGAUCAAGUUAAGACUAAUCCUGGACCCCAACAUGAUGCCUGAGGAGUUUGGGCUGGACUAUGGCAUUGUACAAAAACGAAACAAAACAAAACAAAACCCAACAGUCCUGCUAACACAGGUUGGAUUUCUGCCUGAGCGAGACCUACUAGCUUUGACACUUGCUUGCAGAUUUAUGCUGGUGAACAUCUCCAAGGAACUCUGUUGAGUUUUCUGAUUUGUGCCACAGUCAUCAGGACUCCUAAAGUUCUAAGCAAGCUGAAA